This 601-nucleotide long non-coding RNA is filed under the name Homo sapiens (human). RNAcentral's name for it is "non-protein coding lnc-ALDH1A3-1:14". The record is from RNAcentral. Lineage: Eukaryota; Metazoa; Chordata; Mammalia; Primates; Hominidae.
GGAAGGGCGCGUUUGUCUGAGCCUGGGACUAACAUAAUCACAUAAAGUUGUUGCUUUGGAAUAGAUGGAGCUGCCCCAGAGUCGAUUUUCUUGGAAGCAACGCAAAGCACAGCUUCCUGGGAGAAGACACAAUGCCUCCUAUUGUCUCUGCCACUUCCCCUCCAGCCUCCCAGCAUUUCUGCGUCUCCUCGGGAGCCACUGCCCUGUGCAAGAGCUGUUUGCUGAUGCCCAGCCGCGGCUUCCAAAACUCCCGCGAGAAGUCGUUUCUGUCCACAGUCAUUGUUUCCAGACCAGCCGAGCCAACUGGGGAGGAGAGGCCAAGCCCAGGGAGAGCAGUAAGAGGCCCAGCUUGCAACACAGGCCCCCGGCGGCUGGAGUCGGCUCAUGGGUUGCUGGGGGGCAGCUGGUGCCAGCCCUGCUAGACAUGUCCAGGGUCGGGGCAGAGGCCAGGGUGGCUCUCAUCCACAACGAGGCUCCAGGAAGAGGCUCCAGAGGGCCCAGGUCCCUGGAGGAAGACAGAGGGUGGAUUAUCCAGUGAGUCCUCAGAUUGCUCCAGGGAGACUCUACCCCUAGGCCCUCAUCCUACCUAGGACUGAGGCAG